GUGUCAGCCGCCGCGGUAAUACGUAGGGUGCGAGCGUUAAUCGGAAUUACUGGGCGUAAAGUGUGCGCAGGCGGCCCCGCAAGUCGAGUGUGAAAUCCCCGAGCUUAACUUGGGAAUGGCGCUCGAAACUACGGGGCUCGAGUGUGGCAGAGGGAGGUGGAAUUCCACGUGUAGCGGUGAAAUGCGUAGAGAUGUGGAGGAACACCAAUGGCGAAGGCAGCCUCCUGGGUCAACACUGACGCUCAUGCACGAAAGCGUGGGGAGCAAACAGGAUUAGAAACCCCCGUAGUCC
RNAcentral lists this ribosomal RNA (292 nucleotides) under uncultured bacterium. RNAcentral's name for it is "partial 16S ribosomal RNA". It matches the Rfam family "Bacterial small subunit ribosomal RNA", at positions 505 to 796 of the family's 1533-position model. The record is from RNAcentral.